UUCUGCCCAGAAAGGCAUUUUCAAAGGGCUCUGACUGCUGGAUUAGUCAUGCUCAUUUUUCAGGUGGUGUAUACAACUGUAGAAUAUUUAACCACCAUUAAAUGUUUUUCCAGCUGGAACUGUUUCGUGCAGAACUCACCCAUUUAAUCAAUUUAUCUCCUUCGUCGUGAGGUUACAACUGGUGUGACUGCAAAGAAGGGAGAGAAAAGGAGAAAAUGAGAUGCUCCAUUAGAAAACACCAUUCAGAAGUGACAGAUUAAGCCACUUGAAAUGAAGGCAAACGAGUGUUUUUCCAGACUGUGUGAAGACCCACAUUAGAAAAGACUCCAGUUUCCUCCCCCACCCCCAUUUCCUUUGAAACUAAAACAAAAAAAUAGGACUCUCAUCAAAACCCUGAAGUAGGAGAAAAAUCCAUCUGCUCAGCUAAUGAAGAUGACUGGUACAAGUCUGUGCUGAUGACUGUCCCCACCUUCAUCUCUUUAAAGCUUAAGCAGGAUAAGACACAAAGAAGAGCUGCAGUAGCAAGAGGAGUUUGGAACUGAAGAAAGACCUGAAGAAAAGAAGCCUUGGGUUGGAUCCCCUCAACCCCAGAAGACAGAGUUGAGUACAGCACACAUUUGCAUUGGCUUCAGGUGCUCAUUUGCUGAAGAACAAAGUGCCAAGGAACAGAAAUUAGGAGUGUGAGAAAGCACAGCAGCUCACCAGGUGUGCAGGUGAGGACAGACAGCUACGAUUAAAAGCAGGUUCAUUACAGAGCUGAUAAGGGAGUAAGCCCUGAUGGGUCUUUAACGAGGUGCCCAGCUGGAGCACCAGUGC
Long non-coding RNA from Myiozetetes cayanensis, 816 nucleotides. RefSeq lists it as uncharacterized. The record is from RefSeq and is a predicted model, not a curated record. The transcript has 3 exons. Lineage: Eukaryota; Metazoa; Chordata; Aves; Passeriformes; Tyrannidae.